AUACCUCUCUGGCAGGGGCGAUUCCAUGACCAGAAGGGUGAUUUCCCCAGCGAGGCUUAUCCAUUGCAGAUGGGCUGACCCCUGUAAUUUCCCCAACUGCAGGAAACUCAACUGCAUAAUUUGUGGCAAAGAGAGACUUCAUAUGAGCUCUUC
RNAcentral lists this small nuclear RNA (153 nucleotides) under Monodelphis domestica (gray short-tailed opossum). RNAcentral's name for it is "U1 spliceosomal RNA (ENSMODG00000026018.1)". It matches the Rfam family "U1 spliceosomal RNA". Rfam says of the family: U1 is a small nuclear RNA (snRNA) component of the spliceosome (involved in pre-mRNA splicing). Its 5' end forms complementary base pairs with the 5' splice junction, thus defining the 5' donor site of an intron. There are significant differences in sequence and secondary structure between metazoan and yeast U1 snRNAs, the latter being much longer (568 nucleotides as compared to 164 nucleotides in human). Lineage: Eukaryota; Metazoa; Chordata; Mammalia; Didelphimorphia; Didelphidae. The record is from RNAcentral.